UACGUAGGGGGCAAGCGUUAUCCGGAAUUACUGGGUGUAAAGGGUGAGUAGGCGGCAUGGUAAGCCAGAUGUGAAAGCCUUGGGCUUAACCCGAGGAUUGCAUUUGGAACUAUCAAGCUAGAGUACAGGAGAGGAAAGCGGAAUUCCUAGUGUAGCGGUGAAAUGCGUAGAUAUUAGGAAGAACACCAGUGGCGAAGGCGGCUUUCUGGGCUGAAACUGACGCUGAGGCACGAAAGCGUGGGGAGCGAACAGG
Molecule: ribosomal RNA, 253 nt
Filed under: uncultured bacterium
Lineage: Bacteria
Description: partial 16S ribosomal RNA
Rfam family: Bacterial small subunit ribosomal RNA
Source: RNAcentral